UUCGGUAAUGACGUUGGGAAAGCGAGCGGCGGAUGGGUGAGUAACACGUGGGGAACCUGCCCCUAAGUCUGGGAUACCAUUUGGAAACAGGUGCUAAUACCGGAUAAUAAAGCAGAUCGCAUGAUCAGCUUUUGAAAGGCGGCGUAAGCUGUCGCUAAGGGAUGGCCCCGCGGUGCAUUAGCUAGUUGGUAAGGUAACGGCUUACCAAGGCGACGAUGCAUAGCCGAGUUGAGAGACUGAUCGGCCACAUUGGGACUGAGACACGGCCCAAACUCCUACGGGAGGCAGCAGUAGGGAAUCUUCCACAAUGGACGCAAGUCUGAUGGAGCAACGCCGCGUGAGUGAAGAAGGUUUUCGGAUCGUAAAGCUCUGUUGUUGGUGAAGAAGGAUAGAGGUAGUAACUGGCCUUUAUUUGACGGUAAUCAACCAGAAAGUCACGGCUAACUACGUGCCAGCAGCCGCGGUAAUACGUAGGUGGCAAGCGUUGUCCGGAUUUAUUGGGCGUAAAGCGAGCGCAGGCGGAAAAAUAAGUCUAAUGUGAAAGCCCUCGGCUUAACCGAGGAACUGCAUCGGAUACUGUUUUUCUUGAGUGCAGAAGAGGAGAGU
RNAcentral lists this ribosomal RNA (606 nucleotides) under Lactobacillus sp. Its description in RNAcentral is "bacterial SSU rRNA". It matches the Rfam family "Bacterial small subunit ribosomal RNA", at positions 75 to 662 of the family's 1533-position model. Lineage: Bacteria; Bacillati; Bacillota; Bacilli; Lactobacillales; Lactobacillaceae. The record is from RNAcentral.